UACGAAGGGUGCAAGCGUUACUCGGAAUUACUGGGCGUAAAGCGUGCGUAGGUGGUUCGUUAAGUCUGUCGUGAAAGCCCCGGGCUCAACCUGGGAAUGGCGAUGGAUACUGGCGGGCUAGAGUGCGGUAGAGGAGAGUGGAAUUCCCGGUGUAGCAGUGAAAUGCGUAGAGAUGUGGAGGAACACCGAUGGCGAAGGCAGCCCCCUGGGCUGAGAUUGACGCUCAGGCACGAAAGCGUGGGGAGCAAACAGG
Molecule: ribosomal RNA, 253 nt
Filed under: uncultured bacterium
Lineage: Bacteria
Description: partial 16S ribosomal RNA
Rfam family: Bacterial small subunit ribosomal RNA
Source: RNAcentral